AUGAUCUUCAGGUGACUCGUGACCUCGCGCUAAUCGUAGCAAUACUUACAAACAUGGUAUAUGCAAAAUUAACAUCACACCAAACAUAAUAAUACACUGCAUAAUAAUAAUCUACGCGUUACUACGAUAUCGUGGGAACAAGAACCACUAAAUUCAGAGCUACAGUUAUUAAGUUAUGAAUUUCUGAAAUUAUUUAGUGCUUAGAAUAGAUUAAUCCAAAUGAACAAUUUUAAUUCAAGUUUCAUGGCUAAACAGUGUUACUAGUUGAUAGACAAUAUUAAUACAAAAUUAUUGCCACUGGAAUGACUCAAUUCGGAGCAAAAAUGGAUUUUCUAGGAAUUACACAAGUUCUAGAAUUAUUUUUGUACUAGAAAAGUAUUUUCUAUAUUGUUUUUCCUAUUUUCUUAAGUCCCUGGACUAAGCACACUAAUACAGAGAAGACCGGGGUUAAACUUGCAAAAGUCAACCAGACACAGACAACUCCCACGAGGACGGCGGGUUAGUUUAGGGAAAGCCGAGGGGCUCUUUAAGAAAAUAGGCGCGGCGAAGGGGUAUGGAUGAAUAUCUACCGUCCGAUCAGAGAUGGACGCCCCGAUUAAAUCGAGCACCACCCCGAACCGGUACAACACCUCGGCCAUCAGAUCGAGAAUCUACGGCUAGGAUCAGAUCGUUGUUAUUAUAAACCAGCACGCGCUCACAACCAUCCGAUCACGUAUCUGCGGUCAUGAUUUAUUGUCUCGAAAGGUUAUCCUCCCAUCUAAUCGCAGCCGUCCAACAUCGAUCUAACAACUUGAAACUCGUCUUCCUCCAUCGGAACUCCCACCGACCAUCAACGCAGCGGUGCACAGCGCCGGUGCGGCAGCGCCAUAGCUAGCGCAUAGGGUCCGCGCGAUUCCGCCCCCAAUCACUGCAAUAACUGGUGCUACACGAUCUCUGUGACACGAUGACUACUUGGGUGGAGGACUUACCAGCGAUGAUGUCGCGGCCAAGUCUGCCCACGAUGAGGAGCGAAUCAGUGGCCCAGCAGGAGUCCAGCGAGCAAUUGUGCCUACGUCGAGCCAUCCCGCGGCAGCGAGCUUGGCAGAGCUCGCCAACCGAGCCCGAGACCACGGCCCGAACGCUACUACCCGAAAUCUUCAUGACGACGAACAGUAGAAGAACUCACCCCUGGUGACGCAGCAAAACCGACCAGAUCCCCUCCAAGUCGCGAUGGCGGCACCUCCCGAUGAAUAAUCCCGUGCUCGCAGGUUGCUCCCCAGUCGAAUUGGGGUCCGUGAUGCCGGAGCCGAUGCCUGCGAUGCUCACGGCCCCUCUCCGACCGCAGACCAGCUGCGCGGAUGGAAAUCCCCGGCAGCGGUCACCAUGUCCCAGCCCAGCAGUGCGAAGCUCAGCGCUUGGUCACCCGAUUUCCCCCCGACUA
RNAcentral lists this long non-coding RNA (1420 nucleotides) under Zea mays. RNAcentral's name for it is "long non-coding RNA (ZMAY_LNC001049)". The record is from RNAcentral. Lineage: Eukaryota; Viridiplantae; Streptophyta; Magnoliopsida; Poales; Poaceae.